Molecule: ribosomal RNA, 465 nt
Filed under: uncultured bacterium
Lineage: Bacteria
Description: partial 16S ribosomal RNA
Rfam family: Bacterial small subunit ribosomal RNA
Source: RNAcentral
GACGAACGCUGGCGGCGUGCUAAACACAUGCAAGUCGUACGGUAAGGCCCUUUCGGGGGUACACGAGUGGCGAACGGGUGAGUAACACGUGAGUAACCUGCCCACAACUUUGGGAUAACGCUAGGAAACUGGUGCUAAUACUGGAUAUGUGCUCCUGCUGCAUGGUGGGGGUUGGAAAGCUCCGGCGGUUGUGGAUGGACUCGCGGCCUAUCAGCUUGUUGGUGGGGUAGUGGCCUACCAAGGCGGCGACGGGUAGCCGGCCUGAGAGGGUGACCGGCCACAUUGGGACUGAGAUACGGCCCAGACUCCUACGGGAGGCAGCAGUGGGGAAUAUUGCACAAUGGGCGCAAGCCUGAUGCAGCAACGCCGCGUGCGGGAUGACGGCCUUCGGGUUGUAAACCGCUUUCAGCAGGGACGAAGCUUUUUGUGACGGUACCUGCAGAAGAAGCACCGGCUAACUACGUG